This 426-nucleotide ribosomal RNA is filed under the name Salmonella enterica subsp. enterica serovar Cerro. RNAcentral describes it as "partial 16S ribosomal RNA". It matches the Rfam family "Bacterial small subunit ribosomal RNA", at positions 581 to 1006 of the family's 1533-position model. The record is from RNAcentral. RNAcentral also lists the same sequence under 1 other name. Lineage: Bacteria; Pseudomonadati; Pseudomonadota; Gammaproteobacteria; Enterobacterales; Enterobacteriaceae.
UGUCAAGUCGGAUGUGAAAUCCCCGGGCUCAACCUGGGAACUGCAUUCGAAACUGGCAGGCUUGAGUCUUGUAGAGGGGGGUAGAAUUCCAGGUGUAGCGGUGAAAUGCGUAGAGAUCUGGAGGAAUACCGGUGGCGAAGGCGGCCCCCUGGACAAAGACUGACGCUCAGGUGCGAAAGCGUGGGGAGCAAACAGGAUUAGAUACCCUGGUAGUCCACGCCGUAAACGAUGUCUACUUGGAGGUUGUGCCCUUGAGGCGUGGCUUCCGGAGCUAACGCGUUAAGUAGACCGCCUGGGGAGUACGGCCGCAAGGUUAAAACUCAAAUGAAUUGACGGGGGCCCGCACAAGCGGUGGAGCAUGUGGUUUAAUUCGAUGCAACGCGAAGAACCUUACCUGGUCUUGACAUCCACGGAAGUUUUCAGAGA